GUGGGGAAUAUUGGACAAUGGGCGAAAGCCUGAUCCAGCAAUGCCGCGUGAGUGAUGAAGGCCUUAGGGUUGUAAAGCUCUUUUACCCGGGAUGAUAAUGACAGUACCGGGAGAAUAAGCUCCGGCUAACUCCGUGCCAGCAGCCGCGGUAAUACGGAGGGAGCUAGCGUUGUUCGGAAUUACUGGGCGUAAAGCGCACGUAGGCGGCUUUGCAAGUUAGAGGUGAAAGCCCGGGGCUCAACUCCGGAAUUGCCUUUAAAACUGCAUCGCUUGAAUCCGGGAGAGGUGAGUGGAAUUCCGAGUGUAGAGGUGAAAUUCGUAGAUAUUCGGAAGAACACCAGUGGCGAAGGCGGCUCACUGGACCGGUAUUGACGCUGAGGUGCGAAAGCGUGGGGAGCAAACAGGAUUAGAUACCCUUGUAGUCC
RNAcentral lists this ribosomal RNA (425 nucleotides) under uncultured bacterium. RNAcentral describes it as "partial 16S ribosomal RNA". It matches the Rfam family "Bacterial small subunit ribosomal RNA", at positions 354 to 796 of the family's 1533-position model. The record is from RNAcentral.